Molecule: transfer RNA, 73 nt
Filed under: Actinomycetota bacterium
Lineage: Bacteria; Bacillati; Actinomycetota
Also listed under: 1 other name
Description: Actinobacteria bacterium tRNA-Thr
Rfam family: tRNA
About the family: Transfer RNA (tRNA) molecules are approximately 80 nucleotides in length. Their secondary structure includes four short double-helical elements and three loops (D, anti-codon, and T loops). Further hydrogen bonds mediate the characteristic L-shaped molecular structure. tRNAs have two regions of fundamental functional importance: the anti-codon, which is responsible for specific mRNA codon recognition, and the 3' end, to which the tRNAs corresponding amino acid is attached (by aminoacyl-tRNA synthetases). tRNAs cope with the degeneracy of the genetic code in two manners: having more than one tRNA (with a specific anti-codon) for a particular amino acid; and 'wobble' base-pairing, i.e. permitting non-standard base-pairing at the 3rd anti-codon position.
Source: RNAcentral
GCCGGAGUAGCUCAGCUGGUAGAGCAAGCCCCUUGUAAGGGCUAGGCCGUCGGUUCGAGUCCGACCUCCGGCU